This is an RNA transcript of Myzus persicae (green peach aphid), 832 nucleotides long. RefSeq lists it as uncharacterized. The transcript is spliced from 5 exons. NCBI's taxonomy places the organism in Eukaryota, Metazoa, Arthropoda, Insecta, Hemiptera, Aphididae. The record is from RefSeq and is a predicted model, not a curated record.
GUUGUAUGUUCUUUUCUAUAUUCAGCAGUUAUGAAACUUAUAUGAAUAUUUUUCUUCUGUUCUAAGUCUUAAUUCUUGUUUUUUUGUAUUAUAGAGCUAUCGUCUGGUAUAUGCGCUUUUAAAUGGAAAGUCUGAAGGAAUAUAUACUGUAUUAUUUUCACGUAUCAAAGAUAUGAUACCCCUGCAAUACCAAAAUCUUAUGAUUGCAGAUUAUGAAAUUGGGCAAAUCAAUGCAAUACAUACUGUAUUUACUGAAAUAACUCAUCAGGGCUGCUAUUUUCAUUAUUGUCAGGCGAUUCUGGGGUAUGCCAGAAACAAGUCGAUUGGUGUUUACAAUUUAGUAAAAAUAAACCCUGCUGCUGCUCGUGUUUUCCGGAUGAUACUUGCACUACCAUACCUUCCGUCUGAAAGAAUUGGCAGAGUUCCUUCGGUGGUUGAUGGUGUUAAUGCCAUAAUUGUAUUCAUAGUGUAGUAUGAAUAUGUUGCUUUGGUGUACCACCGAUUUAUUUAUGAAUACAUUAUUCCUUUUUGGAUUCAUUCCAUAACUCCUGAAAGAUUUACAGUAUAUAAUUGCGAUAUUAGGACAAAUAAUUAUUUAGAAAGUUACCAUGCAUUACUCUUAAAAAUCAUAAGGCCUCAUCCAAAAAGAUGGGAAUUUAUUGAAACACCUAGGACAAGUUUCAUUGUUCAUCAAAUGGACUAUGUAUCGAAUUGUUGCGGGUUUGUGAUGGUCAUAAGGAUUGUUCAGAUGGUUCAGAAGAGACAAAAGUGUUAUGUGCUCUAUUGCCUCUAUACGAUUAUGGAACAAAUAAGACCAUAGGUUGUGGUAGAG